AAGCAAGCGGCACCAUGAAGACCAAGGAGCUCUCCAAACAGAAAUCCAAGGACUCCGGCAGGAAAACAAAUUUCUGACGCACUGAGAGAAGAAGUUAAGGUGCUAAGGUGUGGGCAAGGACGUCCGGGUGGUAUCGGAUCACUGAGUGAAGAGGUGGUGCAGGUUGCUACCAUGCUAAGGACAUUUGCUGCUACUGGGCAAUCAGAUCCAAUAUAACACUUUUGCUGCGGCAUAUGGGAACAGUGGAUGAUCGAACUCUUGAGAUGGAUAACAAGAUGAAUACCUUGUUAGCCUAUCAACAGGCCAAUGGGAGCCAUUCAGCAGAACACUGAAAUCCAGGAUGCCAUGGACAAAGUGGUCCAGAUUCAAGUCACCCGUUACCUGAAAGGGGCCUCCGAUCAUGAAGGACUCUCUCUACAUUUGGCAAUCAUCUCUCUGCUUCCAAUUGUAUAAAAAAAGCCACAUGGCAGACCAAUCUGAACUCAUUUCUCGGCAUGUCCAGCUCAUCCAACACCUCAGCUAAUCAUGACUAGUGGGAAGGUUCCUGUAUUUUUCUAUGCUCGUAAUUUAGCAAUUGUGUUCAAAAUAUGCAUUUUGAUAAAACAAUAAAGAAAAUGAAUGCCUCACAUGUAGUAGUGAGGUUUGACAUUCAAACGGGUUUUAUUUU
Molecule: long non-coding RNA, 667 nt
Organism: Oncorhynchus tshawytscha (Chinook salmon)
Lineage: Eukaryota; Metazoa; Chordata; Actinopteri; Salmoniformes; Salmonidae
Source: Ensembl